RNAcentral lists this ribosomal RNA (378 nucleotides) under uncultured bacterium. Its description in RNAcentral is "bacterial SSU rRNA". It matches the Rfam family "Bacterial small subunit ribosomal RNA", at positions 521 to 896 of the family's 1533-position model. The record is from RNAcentral.
UAAGACGAACCGUGCGAACGUUAUUCGGAAUCACUGGGCUUAAAGCGCGUGUAGGCGGGCCGCCCCGUCGGAUGCUGAAAGCCCCCGGCUCAACCGGGGAACGGGCACCGAUACGAGCGGCCUGGAGGGGGGUAGGGGGAGCCGGAACUCACGGUGGAGCGGUGAAAUGCGUUGAGAUCGUGAGGAACGCCCGUGGCGAAAGCGGGCUCCUGGACCCCGCCUGACGCUGAGACGCGAAAGCCAGGGGAGCGAACGGGAUUAGAUACCCCGGUAGUCCUGGCCGUAAACACUGGGCACUGGGUAGGGGACUCGCCGAUGGGUUCCCUGCCGCAGCGAAAGCGUGAAGUGCCCCGCCUGGGGAGUAUGGUCGCAAGGCUG